GACGAACGCUGGCGGCGUGCUUAACACAUGCAAGUCGAACGGAAAGGCCCUGCUUUUGUGGGGUGCUCGAGUGGUGAACGGGUGAGUAACACGUGAGUAACCUGCCCUUGACUUUGGGAUAACUUCAGGAAACUGGGGCUAAUACCGGAUAGGAGCUCCUGCUGCAUGGUGGGGGUUGGAAAGUUUCGGCGGUUGGGGAUGGACUCGCGGCUUAUCAGCUUGUUGGUGGGGUAGUGGCUUACCAAGGCUUUGACGGGUAGCCGGCCUGAGAGGGUGACCGGCCAAAUUGGGACUGAGAUACGGACCAGACUGCUACGGGAGGCAGCAGUGGGGAAUAUUGCACAAUGGGCGGAAGCCUGAUGCAGCAACGCCGCGUGCGGGAUGACGGCCUUCGGGUUGUAAACCGCUUUCGCCUGUGACGAAGCGUGAGUGACGGUAAUGGGUAAAGAAGCACCGGCUAACUACGUG
This 468-nucleotide ribosomal RNA is filed under the name uncultured bacterium. Its description in RNAcentral is "partial 16S ribosomal RNA". It matches the Rfam family "Bacterial small subunit ribosomal RNA", at positions 28 to 507 of the family's 1533-position model. The record is from RNAcentral.